GGAGCGGCCGAUGUCUGAUUAGCUAGUUGGUAAGGUAAUGGCUUACCAAGGCAACGAUCAGUAGUUGGUCUGAGAGGACGACCAGCCACACUGGGACUGAGACACGGCCCAGACUCCUACGGGAGGCAGCAGUGGGGAAUUUUGGACAAUGGGCGCAAGCCUGAUCCAGCAAUGCCGCGUGAGUGAAGAAGGCCUUCGGGUUGUAAAGCUCUUUCAGUUGAGAAGAAAAGAUUGUGACUAAUAAUUGCAAUCCAUGACGGUAUCGACAGAAGAAGCACCGGCUAACUACGUGCCAGCAGCCGCGGUAAUACGUAGGGUGCGAGCGUUAAUCGGAAUUACUGGGCGUAAAGGGUGCGCAGGCGGUUCUGUAAGUCAGAUGUGAAAUCCCCGGGCUUAACCUGGGAAC
RNAcentral lists this ribosomal RNA (406 nucleotides) under uncultured bacterium. RNAcentral describes it as "bacterial SSU rRNA". It matches the Rfam family "Bacterial small subunit ribosomal RNA", at positions 223 to 621 of the family's 1533-position model. The record is from RNAcentral.